UUUGUGACUGUAACAACAAAUG
RNAcentral lists this microRNA (22 nucleotides) under Apis mellifera (honey bee). RNAcentral's name for it is "ame-miR-6057-5p". The record is from miRBase by way of RNAcentral. Lineage: Eukaryota; Metazoa; Arthropoda; Insecta; Hymenoptera; Apidae.